CCCCCCCCCCCCCCCCCCCCCCCCCCCCCCCCCCCCCCCCCCCCCCCCCCCCCCCCCCCCCCCCCUCCCUGGGAUCAGGAGUGGAGGAAAUUUGGGGUCCCUGGGGCCAGGAAGGAGGAAAUUUGGGAUCCCUGGGGUCAGGAAUUGGGGCUGGGUCACAUCUGGGAUCCCUGGGAUCAGGAGUGGAGGAAAUUUGGGGUCCCUGGGGUCAGGAGUGGAGGAAAUUUGGGAUCCCUGGGAUCAGGAAUUGGGGCUGGGUCACAUCUGGGAUCCCCGGGAAAUGCCGGGGGCUGGGGCCGUACCUCCGUGAGGAGCUGUACUCCCGACCUGCAGGGAAACACAAACAUCAACUCCCAAAAUCCCAUUUUUUCCAGCAUUUUUACACCCCAAAAUCCCACAGCUUUGUUUCCCCCAAAAUCCCAUUUUCCACAAUUUUUUUCCCAUUUUUCCCCUCAUUUUUCCCUCAUUUUUUCCACAUUUUUCCACAUUUUUCCACCCCAAAAUCCCACAGCUUUGCCUCCCCCAAAAUCCCAUUUCUCCCCAUUUUUCCAGCAUUUCUCCAGCCCAAAAUCCCACAGCUUUGCUUUGCCUCCUCCAAAAUCUCUGGUUUCCCCCAUUUUUUCCCCAUUUUUUCCCAUUUUUCCCAUUUUUUCCACAUCUUUCCACAUUUUCUCCCAAUUUUUCCCAUUUUUUCCCAUCCCAAAAUCCCACAGCUUUGCCUCCCUCAAAAUCCCUUUUCCCCCCAUUUUUUCCCAUUUUCCCCCUAUUUUCCCCCAUUUUUUCCUAUUUUUCCCAUUUUUCCCCAUUUUUCCAGCCCAAAAUCUCUCCCCUUUGCCUCCCCCACCCCUGGAAAAGCAGGAAUGGCUCCUGGAUUUUUGGGAAUCCCCCAGAAUGUUGGGAAUGGCUCCCAGAAUUUUGGGGAUUUUCAGAGAUUUUUAGGAAUUUGGGGGGAUUUGGAGGACCCCCCCCCCCCCCCCCCCCCCCCCCCCCCCCCCCCCCCCCCCCCCCCCCCCCCCCCCCCCCCCC
Molecule: long non-coding RNA, 1026 nt
Filed under: Ficedula albicollis (Collared flycatcher)
Lineage: Eukaryota; Metazoa; Chordata; Aves; Passeriformes; Muscicapidae
Description: lncRNA (ENSFALG00000024098.1)
Source: RNAcentral